RNAcentral lists this ribosomal RNA (497 nucleotides) under uncultured bacterium. RNAcentral describes it as "partial 16S ribosomal RNA". It matches the Rfam family "Bacterial small subunit ribosomal RNA", at positions 28 to 507 of the family's 1533-position model. The record is from RNAcentral.
GAUGAACGCUGGCGGCGUGCCUAACACAUGCAAGUCGAGCGGAAGGACGAGGCUCUUGCUUGGAUGCUGUUAGGGGCGGAUGGGUGAGUAACACGAGUAUACCCUGCCUAUAAGAAUGACAUACUUACGGGAAAGCGGAUAUAAUAUACGACCAUAUUUUGAACCGCGUGGUUCAUCAGUGAAAGACGGUCUUGCUGUCACUACUUGAGGGAUCCGAGCUGCAUUAGCAAGUUGGUAGGGUAACGGCGUACCAAGGCGACGAUGCGUAGCCGAUCUGAGAGGAUGAUCGGCCACACUGGAACUGAGACACGGUCCAGACUCCUACGGGAGGCAGCAGUAGGGAAUCUUCGGCAAUGGGCGAAAGCCUGACGCAGCAACGCCGCGUGUGUGAAGAAGGUCUUCGGAUCGUAAAGCUCUGUUAUUUGGGAAGAACAGAUGUGUAAUUAUCCGUGGACAUCUUGACGGUACCUAAUCAAAAAGCCACGGCUAACUACGUG